ACUUGUGACAUCCACCCCUCUUCACGGCUGAGGAACUUUGGCCCCGAGCGAGGAAGCGACCGGCCCACGGCCACACGCCCGGAGUGGGUAAAUAUCUACUCAUGGGAUUGCUGGGCUGUAUGGGGGCAGCAUCUUCUACUAUGUGCAUCUACAUUGGAUGGCAGUGGAGCAACACAGAUUGUUUUCUGACAAAAAUCAGCCAAGUACUAGGAGAGGCAGGACUUUAGAAGUGGAGGAGAUGGAGAAGGAAGCUUAGGUUACUAUGGAGUGUGCAAAAAGGUCCUGUGGAUUUAGAUACCACCACACACAAAUGGUAUGUAAUACUCACUUGAAGACAAAUCAGCCAGAGGGAUCUAACAGCAUUGACCCAUUCUCUGGUCUUCUAGCAUCCAUCAUAGUUUUGUGCUCCUUUUCCAUGAAACACAGCUGUUGUUGGAAGGUACCUGCCCAGAUAAGGACUGCAUUUCCUCUAGCAUCCAGAUGGGACCAAAUGACUGCUGGCCAAUAGAAGUGAGUGGAAAGGACUGACUCCAGUUCCAGGUUGGGCCUCCAACUGCUCUGGGCACGUCGAUGGAACAGAACACCACCUCCACCCCAAUACCACCAAUUCAACUUUACAUGAAUUAUAAGCGAGAAAUAA
RNAcentral lists this long non-coding RNA (640 nucleotides) under Homo sapiens (human). RNAcentral's name for it is "HSALNT0359500". The record is from RNAcentral. Lineage: Eukaryota; Metazoa; Chordata; Mammalia; Primates; Hominidae.